RNAcentral lists this ribosomal RNA (636 nucleotides) under uncultured bacterium. Its description in RNAcentral is "bacterial SSU rRNA". It matches the Rfam family "Bacterial small subunit ribosomal RNA", at positions 202 to 859 of the family's 1533-position model. The record is from RNAcentral.
UAAAGGAGCAAUCCGCUAUAAGAUGGGCCCGCGGCGCAUUAGCUAGUUGGUGAGGUAACGGCUCACCAAGGCGACGAUGCGUAGCCGACCUGAGAGGGUGAUCGGCCACAUUGGGACUGAGACACGGCCCAGACUCCUACGGGAGGCAGCAGUGGGGAAUAUUGCACAAUGGGGGAAACCCUGAUGCAGCAACGCCGCGUGAGUGAUGACGGCCUUCGGGUUGUAAAGCUCUGUCUUUGGGGACGAUAAUGACGGUACCCAAGGAGGAAGCCCCGGCUAACUACGUGCCAGCAGCCGCGGUAAUACGUAGGGGGCAAGCGUUAUCCGGAAUUACUGGGUGUAAAGGGAGAGUAGGCGGCAUGGUAAGCAAUAUGUGAAAGCCUCGGGCUUAACCUGAGGAUUGCAUAAUGAACUAUCAAGCUAGAGUACAGGAGAGGAAAGCGGAAUUCCUAGUGUAGCGGUGAAAUGCGUAGAUAUUAGGAAGAACACCAGUGGCGAAGGCGGCUUUCUGGACUGAAACUGACGCUGAGGCUCGAAAGCGUGGGGAGCGAACAGGAUUAGAUACCCUGGUAGUCCACGCCGUAAACGAUGAGUGCUAGGUGUCGGGGAGGAAUCCUCGGUGCCGGAGCAAACGCA